GAUGAACGCUGGCGGCGUGCCUAAUACAUGCAAGUCGAACGAACAGACGCGGAUCUUGCUCCUCUCACGUUAGCGGCGCACGGGUGAGUAACACGUGUAUAACCUACCUAUAAUACUGGUAUAACUUCGGGAAACCGGAGCUAAUACCGGAUAAUAUAUUGAACCGCAGGGGUCAUUAGUGAAAGACGGUUUUGCUGGCUGUUGUAGAUGGAUCCGCGCCUGAUUAGCUUGUUGGUGGGGUAAAGGCUUACCAAGGCUAUGAUGGGUAGCCGGCCUGAGAGGGUGACCGGCCACAUUGGGACUGAGAUACGGCCCAGACUGCUACGGGAGGCAGCAGGGGGGAAUAUUGAACAAUGGGCGGAAGCCUGAUGCAGCAACGCCGCGUGCGGGAUGACGGCCUUCGGGUUGUAAACCGCUUUCGCCUGUGACGAAGCGUGAGUGACGGUAAUGGGUAAAGAAGCACCGGCUAACUACGUG
RNAcentral lists this ribosomal RNA (477 nucleotides) under uncultured bacterium. Its description in RNAcentral is "partial 16S ribosomal RNA". It matches the Rfam family "Bacterial small subunit ribosomal RNA", at positions 28 to 507 of the family's 1533-position model. The record is from RNAcentral.